Molecule: long non-coding RNA, 2037 nt
Organism: Girardinichthys multiradiatus
Lineage: Eukaryota; Metazoa; Chordata; Actinopteri; Cyprinodontiformes; Goodeidae
Exons: 6
Source: RefSeq, a predicted model, not a curated record
ACGAAGGGCUUGUCAGGAUGCGCUUGUCAAGUAAGCCUGACCGCCGUGGCGUGUGAGGGAAGAGGAGGAAGAGGGGGAAAGUUGAAGAGUCUGUUGGGAAAUCGAUCUGAGGUCCGUGCUGGGAUGGUUUUCAGACGAGUCAUUCACGAACAAAGCCGAGCUGAUGCAGCUGGCUGUACAGACAACCCAUCCUCGUUAGGUUCUGGUUCCGAGAGCAGCGGAGAACCGGCUCGACAAAUUAUUUAGGCUCACUAUAGACUCCAAACUGCUCUCCAGCUUCUUUAGGUUGUUUCCUCACAAGUUUCACUCAGUAGGACCUGAUUACUGUGAGCUGCAUUAGUGAAGAAGAAACCCUCCUGAUUAUUCGGCGACACGCAGGUGAUGGAGGUUUUAAGUUGGAAGUACUUGCUAUGCUUUCUUUCUCCUCGCCUGAUUUAGAUCCACCCAUUAUUCCAUCUCAGUUUGGAAAACUCUCAGAGGGUUGGAGAACUGUAAGCAUGGAUGCGUUGGAGAUCCACCUGCUCUGGAAACCAUCUAUCCUGGGUGUCAGUCAGGGACCAACCAGCUGCUUGUGGUUCUCCUAAAAACAAGACAGAAACUCGAGGGGUUCGAGCGGAUCUGUUUUAUGUUGUUGGGUCCAGCCAUGGAUUACAACAUUAAAGGCCAGUAAGAACUUUUCUGGAAGUUUACUUUCAAAAUUAAACACAGGAACCUACUUCCAGCGCAGCCAGGAACAGAAGAAAGAAGAGAGUAAGAGCGGACUUUCCGGAACGUCACUGUUUGAAUAAAAACCCACGUUCCAACAAACAGAUCUCUUCUAAUGUCUGUUGCUGGCAAGCAGACAUAACUCUUAAAACUGGAUCCAGAGUGACUACGAUCACAUGCAACAAAGUUAAGUAAUGAUUUGCUGUUCGAGUAUCUGGCAUUCAUUCAUGUAAAGGGUGUAAUGAGACAAACUUGACUCGGCUUUUCUUCUGAGGCCUCCAGAAGCAGCCCUAAUCAAAGCAGAUUUCCCCCACGGCCUGGAAAAGAAGGCCGGGACCGCAUCAUAGCGAGAGUUACCCGGCCGCAUUUCGGCCACUCAAGGAGUCAAAUGUGCCUUUGUCAUACGGUUCUGCCGGGCCAGUAGAACGAGCCGCCCCACCCCACAGCUGCAAGUAACCCUUUGUUUAGCCACAUGUGGAUGUUUUCCUCAACACUCAGGACAACUUCUCCUCAGCACGGUUCACGUAAGAGGGUGUGACUGGCAGGUGCUGCUGCACAGGUGUUGCUCGAGAGCAAUCAGCUGUGCUUCUUAUGGAAUGGAAACCCAGAGGGAGGCAUCAGCUCGUUUUCUCACUUGAUCACCCUUCGCUAAAGGAAGUCGUGGAAACUUUCUGGUCUCCGUUUUCACUCGUAUCAUGUUCGGAGGAGUUUGGGAACUCCAGCCUCGACACCUCAGCCCUGAGCCUCCUCUUUGCUUCCAACUCCAAGCCCAACUUCUCAGGAGCCAUCUGAGAACCACCCAUCAACCUGCAAGUCCACCCUCCAAUGUUUAACUCUCCAACCAUAGUGGAGUUUCCUGGAAGAGAAGAAACAAAGCACUUAAUCUUCCGAAAACUGUUCACAGCCUGUCAGCCUCAAGCCACCAUGGAGAAGGACUUAUUUCUCCCCCGGUCUUUCCAAGAACUCAACCCCUAGAGACCCCGCGUUUGUCCGCCAGAUCCAGUCCUGGUUCCAGUCCAACCUUUAUCUGUGUUUCUAAAUUAACUGUAAAACGUUGUCUUUGUCCUCGUGGUUGUGUACCUCAGAGUCUAAGAAAACCCCAUUAUGACAUAAAUUGGACUUGAGUUGGAAACAUCUGCAGGAGGAAGGAUGUUCAAACUUCCACUCAGCACUCCAUUAAAGGUACAAAUGAAUACCGCACUCUGUGAACAACAGCAGACCCUCGGUGUCUGCUGGACAACCGUCAAGUCAGCAGUCUUUCCCAUGAUUGUGUCAGCCAUGUCAUCAAAACUUUUUGUAUUAAAACGUAUUUCUUUAUUGUUCUGUUUUAAU